UCACUGCACCAGUAUAUUUCUUUUUGUUUGUAUCGCAACAUUGUGCACAUUUUAUCAACAUUAUUUUAAAUUGCGGAUAAAUGUAGCCUACCCUUCAUUCUCCGCACCCACACUGUGACAAAAUUCAUGAAAAGGGUCUGCAGUGCACCAAUUGUGCAAUUUAAACGUCUUGACGUUCAAAUUUUGUAGCCGUUGUUGAAGGCGGUGCUGAAAGCAAACGCUGCAGAUAACAGAGCAGGUAUCUUUUUUCCGUAGUGAGCAGCCUCUACAGUGAUUAAAACUGAUUUUCUUUUAAUUGUCGUUUAAACUUAUCGUUUAAUCCCCCUAACAAUACAUAAAAAGAGAAGCUGUGUGUUCACCUGCCAAUGGAUUAUUCAGAUCGUGGGCGCACUUGUUAAUCACAGAAAAUCAAUGAAAACAGAGGCCAAUGUUCUGACCCGUCUACUUUCAGCGCAGCAACCGCCACUGUCAGUAGGCAAGCUCAUUAGUGAAAUCAGGUGGUGUAGUGCAUGGUUGUUGUAGUAAUUACUACGGAUACUGCGGCCCGCGAGACCUGGAAUUGAGUAGCGCUGGAGCUACAGGCUCGUGUAGACGUUUGCCUAUCCGUCAGACAACAAGGUCCAUCGAAAAAAUAACGUUAUAAAUUGAAAGGAAUAGGUUGCUUAUAAGUAAGUAUAAGUAUGUUAUCGUAACAAUGAAUACCAGAGUAGCCUGCUUUAGAUCGAAGUCAAGACGUGUUUCAAGUAAAAAUAUAAGCAAAGGCAAUGGAACUUUGCUUACCAUUCACCUGUGUGUGCGGUCAUGCUUCUGUGACGUCAGACAUUGUUUCACGAGAACGGCUUAUAUAUUCACAAUCCGCACAGGAACAAUUGUAUUGCUUCGCAUACAACUCAUUUGACACAUUGAACACCCGCAAGCGAGGAGAAGCACUUUCCUCAUCUUAUCCACACGACUUGUACAAAAGGCCUUCGCAGAUGAACUGCUCCAGUUUAGCGCCUUUUGUCACAGCACAGCAGGACUCCUGCAAGUCUUUUGUAAGUUGCACUGUAGACCUAUCCUUUGUCGCACUGAAGCUUUUUCUCACAUGAUAGGCCUAUGUAUCAAACCGCGAGGAAGAGUACAUUUUCUCAAACGAAAUGGAUAAAUAAAAAUGGAACUGAGAACGACCACGGGACAGAAGCGCUAAUCGGCUCUCUUCAUUGAUGGCUAUCGAGCCUUGUCAGGGACUCGGGAUUUGAAGGUCUGAUAACCCAGUUUGGGAGGGAAAAGUCCAGGAAGAAAAACUUCUAAAGUUUUUUUUUUUAAUUCUGGGAUUGCAAAUGUGGUUGGGAGGAGAACCAGCACAUGCACAUGGGUCCCCCAGGAACCCCUGCUAUAGGUCAAACGAUGACCCCUGCUAGAGUGACCCACAUGCACCACUGAGCUUUUGAUUGGAAGCGCCUUCCAGCGUCGUCAUAAUCUAAAAGCGGCCCACGUUCCAGUAGGUCCUGCGGCGGCGGUGGCGGCUUUUUCACCCCGGACCAUCGCGGGACCGUUUAGCGCGGAGCAGAAGAACCGUGGGAGUCCGCUAACCGAUGUGCGAACGCGUUCAGCCGUGCGAAUGCAUCCGUCAUUUUAAUCCUCUUUGGUCUCCCUCGCUCAGACAAUCGCCGGCUACGUUAAACCUAGCGGGCUAGCGCGUCGCCCAUUAUCCCGGGGAGCGACCCGCAGGCGAUCCCUUAAAGUGAACGCAUGCCCUAACAGUACCGCGCGCAAGCUCUUCCUCAAAUGGUGUCAAGACCCAAGAAGACGUAGGGUGAGAGAGAAUGGUGGACUUGCCGUGUGGCACCACAGCUGUCGUGACCGAUCGGGGACUUUUCGGGACCUUCUGAUUUUUGUAACUUGUGAGGAACCGGCCACUUGUGGUCGGGGUCCUGAAGGCUGUGCGUAGGACGGGCCCACAACAGGGAAGGAAUUUGACUGAAGGGUAAAGUUCCGUGCCAACCCAGCCGCUGGGGACGCGCAAGCCAGUGCGUUCCUAGCGUCGGUCCCAAGCCCGGAUAAAUGGGGAGGGUUGCGUCAGGAAGGGCAUCCAGCGUAAAAACAUAUGCCAAAUUAAAUAUGCGGAUCUGAUCCGCUGUGGCGACCCCUAACGGGAACAGCCGAAGGAAGAAGAAGGAAGAAGGAAAGGUGAAGUUCUGUGGCAGAUUUCUCCCAGCAAAUUGUUCUCUCUCUCGCAGACUUGCAUUCAGCUGCCAGCCAGGGCACUGCAAAAUGGCGGCAUUACCUACUUGCAUCGUUGUUUGCCACAGUGGGUAUUCGGUUCUACUGUGUGAAUUAAUGUUUUUUUUUUUUUUUUUUUUUUUUUUUUUAAAUUACAAGGCAUGCAUCAAGUCAAGUGAAGCUGGUUGAUGUGACUUCAAAGUGAUCAGUAAAAAUUAAAGUAAUAUAAGUAAAUAAUAUUAUAGUAAUAUAAGUAAGUAAUAUUUUUGAAAAUAUUUUCACUGCAGCAGGUUUUUGUCAUCCAAGACACUUGCAUUAUGUCAAAAAAGUAAAAUAUUUGCAUUUCUUUUCUUCUGCCGGGUCUCAGGAGGACAUGAGAAUAGUUUAUAAAAACGUAGCGACCUCCAUUUUGUUUUGGGGAAGAAGAGACUGACGGACCGUACAGCCCUGACGGUUUGAGGCAGCUCGUUCCGUGACUGAGCUCCACCUCCACUUGCGUCCUGGUGCCCGCCGACCCCCCUGUUAAGGCCGUCCGGUUACUCCUUUUUAAAGCGUUCCAGCCGGCCCCUCCCUUUCCUGCUGCCGAGCGUCGCUCCGGCGGGUUUUGAUCGCCAUGGCGGCCACCUCCGCGCGCCCUCGCGCCGCUUCGCUCUCCUCCCCCCCUCCUCGGCGACUUUCCGCGCUCUGUCGUUCCGCUCGGUUACGCUGCUUGUCACUUCGCUACCCGCCCCCCAAGGUGUCAAACUUGUUUUCUGGUUGUCGAACCUCUCCCUCUGUUCCGUCUGCUCUCUGUCAACAAAGUUCCACUCCGCCCCCCCCC
This is a long non-coding RNA of Anguilla rostrata (American eel), 3022 nucleotides long. RefSeq lists it as uncharacterized. The transcript has 3 exons. NCBI's taxonomy places the organism in Eukaryota, Metazoa, Chordata, Actinopteri, Anguilliformes, Anguillidae. The record is from RefSeq and is a predicted model, not a curated record.